RNAcentral lists this ribosomal RNA (1185 nucleotides) under metagenome. Its description in RNAcentral is "bacterial SSU rRNA". It matches the Rfam family "Bacterial small subunit ribosomal RNA", at positions 349 to 1520 of the family's 1533-position model. The record is from RNAcentral.
CCGACAUAAUGCAACUAGCACAAUCUAAUAAUCACCACCACAAAGCCUGAUCCAGCAAUGCCGCGUGAGUGAAGAAGGCCUUCGGGUUGUAAAGCUCUUUUGUCAGGGAAGAAACGGUUCGGGCUAAUAUCCUGGGCUAAUGACGGUACCUGAAGAAUAAGCACCGGCUAACUACGUGCCAGCAGCCGCGGUAAUACGUAGGGUGCAAGCGUUAAUCGGAAUUACUGGGCGUAAAGCGUGCGCAGGCGGUUGUGCAAGACAGAUGUGAAAUCCCCGGGCUCAACCUGGGAAUUGCAUUUGUGACUGCACGGCUAGAGUGUGUCAGAGGGGGGUAGAAUUCCACGUGUAGCAGUGAAAUGCGUAGAGAUGUGGAGGAAUACCGAUGGCGAAGGCAGCCCCCUGGGAUAACACUGACGCUCAUGCACGAAAGCGUGGGGAGCAAACAGGAUUAGAUACCCUGGUAGUCCACGCCCUAAACGAUGUCUACUAGUUGUCGGGUCUUAAUUGACUUGGUAACGCAGCUAACGCGUGAAGUAGACCGCCUGGGGAGUACGGUCGCAAGAUUAAAACUCAAAGGAAUUGACGGGGACCCGCACAAGCGGUGGAUGAUGUGGAUUAAUUCGAUGCAACGCGAAAAACCUUACCUACCCUUGACAUGUCCGGAAUCCUUGAGAGAUCAGGGAGUGCUCGAAAGAGAAUCGGAACACAGGUGCUGCAUGGCUGUCGUCAGCUCGUGUCGUGAGAUGUUGGGUUAAGUCCCGCAACGAGCGCAACCCUUGUCAUUAGUUGCUACGAAAGGGCACUCUAAUGAGACUGCCGGUGACAAACCGGAGGAAGGUGGGGAUGACGUCAAGUCCUCAUGGCCCUUAUGGGUAGGGCUUCACACGUCAUACAAUGGUACAUACAGAGGGCCGCCAACCCGCGAGGGGGAGCUAAUCCCAGGAAGUGUAUCGUAGUCCGGAUUGUAGUCUGCAACUCGACUACAUGAAGUUGGAAUCGCUAGUAAUCGCGGAUCAGCAUGUCGCGGUGAAUACGUUCCCGGGUCUUGUACACACCGCCCGUCACACCAUGGGAGCGGGUUUCGCCAGAAGUGGGUAGCCUAACCGCAAGGAGGUCGCUCACCACGGUGGGAUUCGUGACUGGGGUGAAGUCGAAACAAGGUAGCCGUAUCGGAAGGUGCGGCUG